Molecule: ribosomal RNA, 465 nt
Filed under: uncultured bacterium
Lineage: Bacteria
Description: partial 16S ribosomal RNA
Rfam family: Bacterial small subunit ribosomal RNA
Source: RNAcentral
CCUACGGGAGGCUGCAGUGGGGAAUAUUGCGCAAUGGGCGAAAGCCUGACGCAGCGACGCCGCGUGAGGGAUGAAGGUCUUCGGAUCGUAAACCUCUGUCAGCAGGGAAGCACGGGCACUGUGCUAAUCAGCAGUGAAUUGACGGUACCUGCAAAGGAAGCACCGGCUAACUCCGUGCCAAAAGCCGCGGUAAUACCGAGGGUGCGCGCGUUAAUUGGAAUUACUGGGCGGAAAGCGCUCGUAGGCGGUAUGGCAAGUCAAGGGUGAAAUACCAGCGCGCAACGUGGGAACUGCCGUUGAAACUGGCAAACUGGAGUGUGUGAGAGGAUAGUGGAAUUCCAGGUGUAGGAGUGAAAUCCGUAGAUAUCUGGAGGAACAUCAGUGGCGAAGGCGACUAUCUGGCACAUAACUGACGCUGAGGAGCGAAAGCGUGGGUAGCAAACAGGAUUAGAUACCCGAGUAGUC